AGUGGGGAAUUUUGGACAAUGGGCGCAAGCCUGAUCCAGCCAUGCCGCGUGCAGGAUGAAGGCCUUCGGGUUGUAAACUGCUUUUGUACGGAACGAAAAGACUCUGGUUAAUACCUGGGGUCCAUGACGGUACCGUAAGAAUAAGCACCGGCUAACUACGUGCCAGCAGCCGCGGUAAUACGUAGGGUGCGAGCGUUAAUCGGAAUUACUGGGCGUAAAGCGUGCGCAGGCGGUUAUAUAAGACAGAUGUGAAAUCCCCGGGCUCAACCUGGGAACUGCAUUUGUGACUGUAUAGCUAGAGUACGGCAGAGGGGGAUGGAAUUCCGCGUGUAGCAGUGAAGUGCGUAGAUAUGCGGAGGAACACCGAUGGCGAAGGCAAUCCCCUGGGCCUGUACUGACGCUCAUGCACGAAAGCGUGGGGAGCAAACAGGAUUAGAUACCCUGGUAGUCCACGCCCUAAACGAUGUCAACUGGUUGUUGGGUCUUCACUGACUCAGUAACGAAGCUAACGCGUGAAGUUGACCGCCUGGGGAGUACGGCCGCAAGGUUG
RNAcentral lists this ribosomal RNA (550 nucleotides) under uncultured bacterium. RNAcentral's name for it is "bacterial SSU rRNA". It matches the Rfam family "Bacterial small subunit ribosomal RNA", at positions 353 to 896 of the family's 1533-position model. The record is from RNAcentral.